CAUUUCUGAUGUAAGGAAAUAAGGAUGCUUGGUCUGGUGAGCUUGUACUCAUUUUGGCUAUAGGGUGGACAUUUAAAAGCAAGAUUAUUUUAGCACACAUUAUUGAUUCCUGUUAGACACAUACAGCUGGACAAAUUUUGUGCACCAGGAAGCUUGCUGUGAUUGCAUUACACAGACAAGGAACUUUAUCCAGUGUAAACUUCCACAGAAACCCAUGCCUUGGAGUGUAGGAAGAAAAGUUAUGACGUUUGAGAGUAAACAGUUUUAUCUUCCUGUAUGAAAGAAAAAGUUGCGAGCUUAUUUCACUGCAGAUUUGGGCUGCAGAUCCCUCCCCCCAAAAAGAGCUAUACAAAAAUGGAUGCCUAUUUGUUCUCAGAGGUCACUAUAAUCAUAAUAAAUUGUUUUUGUCACAGAAUAUAUGUCUAUCCUAGAUGCAUUGACUGAAUAUGCAUGCAGCCCUGAUGUAAUUGUUGUUAAUUUAAUUACAGUAUGGCAACCCUCUCCAAUAUUCUUGCCUGGAGAAUCCCAUGGACAGAGGAGCCUGGUGGGCUACAGUCCAUGGAGUCACAAAGAGUCAGAUAUGACCAAGUGAUUUUCCAGUCUAAAUAGGCAGCUUACAAUCUCCAACCACAUCAACAAGCCAUGACAUGAUGCAGGGAAACUGAUAUCAGCCAGUUUCAUCUCCUGUUCUGAUGGCAGAAGCGUCUCACAGUUCAGUCACCGUGCGUGUGCCCUCAGGCAUGGCUCAGGCAUCUACUCAGAGGAAGAACUUCCCACAUGGGGCUCCCUGGCCUGCUCAGAGCUGUCAUAGCCUCUGUCUGCCUUGCUAAGGCUGAUAAGGAUGACCGCCAGCAGACUCAGCUCUGCUCAGCUCCCAUGUGUAGAGGAUCCAUCAUGGCCCAGAAAGUAACUCAAAACCAGUCAGAAAUUCCUGUGCUGGAGAAGAAGGAUGUAAAAUUGAACUGUGCAUAUGAAGCUGAUAGUUAUUCUUAUUAUUUAUUCUGGUAUAAGCAACCACCAAGUGGGGAAAUGAUUUUCCUUAUUCAUCAGGAGUCUUACAAUGAGCUGAAUACAACAAAAGGCCAGUAUUUUUUGAACUUCCAGAAAGCAACGAGUUCCAUCAGCCUCACCAUCACAGACUUACAGCUCGAGGACUCAGCGGUGUAUUUCUGUGCUCUGAGAGACCACAGUGAUGCCGGUGCCUGAGGGAGCCCCACAGAAACCUCAGAUGUCAACAUGUGGAGUCCCCCAGCUAUGAACACCUUCGUGAGAUUCUCAGUAAGGACAGGAACAGGUAGGGGGGUUAGAAGUGAAAACCUCACUGUAAGGAAAAUGCUAUCUCUUUGGCUCAGAGAGCAUAU
Molecule: non-coding RNA, 1361 nt
Organism: Odocoileus virginianus texanus
Lineage: Eukaryota; Metazoa; Chordata; Mammalia; Artiodactyla; Cervidae
Source: the annotation of a RefSeq genome assembly